Vicia villosa (hairy vetch) is the source of this 1638-nucleotide long non-coding RNA. RefSeq lists it as uncharacterized. The transcript has 3 exons. NCBI's taxonomy places the organism in Eukaryota, Viridiplantae, Streptophyta, Magnoliopsida, Fabales, Fabaceae. The record is from RefSeq and is a predicted model, not a curated record.
AACACAAGAGGCAGCGCCUCUUUCCCUUUGUUUCUUUCACGACAAAUUCUGGAAAAAGGCAGAGAAACAACAACAGCUAUUCUCCUUUCUCCCUUUGAACCUUCUCGCGAUUUUCUCUCAUGGUGGACAAAAACCACAACUCGACCUCACUCUCUCGGUUUCUCUCUUCCACGAUAACCACCAUGAAUUUUCGUUCUCAACGUCAUCCCUCUUGCGGAGUUCUCUCUCUCGCUCAACACACAAGAACGAAAACAACAACUUUCUCUCUUGCGCUCGGUUUCUCGUCCUCUUUCGGUUUCUCUCUGCUAGCGGCUGAACAACAACAACGAAGCCCUCUCUCGACCUCGCUCGCGGCGGCCAUGAAGUAACAAAAGCUCUUAUCGGAAAAAUAACAACUCAAAGCAUAAUCCGACAAGCAGAAGUGGAAAACUCAGUACAACAAUAAUUAACAGCAAGUUUGAGAGUGAAAGGGGAAUCGGAUUACCUACGGCAAGGAGGAUUUUGCCGGUUUAAUAUUUGAGGUACAACGCUGAUUAAUGGAAAUAGAGAGAGUGAAGGAAAAGAGACUUACCUGCGGCGAGUUGUGCUUUUGCAAGUGAGAACUGAAUGAUUGCAGCGUCGGUGUUUGAAUCAGCUGCAGGGUGUUGACGGCUCAUCUAUGGAGGCUCGAAGACCGGAUCCAUUGUUGAAGGCUGCUAGCAAGCAAGAGAGGUAUGAAGGCUUCUCUUCUCCCUCUUACUUUUUGUAAUUUUUCUGUAGACUGUAACUUAGAAGUUACAGACUGUUGGCUGCCUUCUCCCCUCUUUUUCCUCUUUUUGUAUUUUGUAACUUAGAAGUUACAGAAUAUUUCUCUGUGAACUCUCCCCUUUUUCUCCUUUUUCCUUUUUCAUAAUUGGUUUGCCUCUCUUCUAUAUAUAGAGGAAAAAAUGAAGGACAAUUUUGGUCAUUUUGGAACCAAAGCUUAGUCUUUAAGCUCACUUAGUUACUAAGUUUUCAUCAUUGCAAAGAAUAUUCUUUCCAAAAUAAUCAUUGCAAAAAUUCCUUGAAUGCUAAGUUUACUUAAUAGCCAAGUUCCACAAAUUUGUGCACAUGGGAGAAUAUGCACAUGGGAUGGAAAGAUUUUCUUCACAACUCUUGUAGUGAAAGUUCCACGACAAGCUUUCUCUUAUGUUAGUAACUUCUAUGUGGUAGUUAUAACAUAAUAUAUAUAUUUCUUUGACUUCCUUUGACUUUUUCUUUUUCUUUUUUUUCUUCUUUUUUUUUCGAAAAAUAUAGCUUCCAUGUGGGCUUUUGGGCUUUUUGAAUUAUUUAUUUGACUUUUGCUAAUUUCACCCUUUUAUGUUUCUUUUUCAUGUCACAUGAGGACUUUUGAAGAAAGCAUGGAGAAACUUGAAUGAAGAAUGGAAACUUGAAGAUUGAAGAAUUCAAGAAAGCAUUGGAUUUUCUUUUAUUCUUUGUAAUCCAAUUUUAUUCCACUUUAGAAUUGUUUGAACUUUGUAUGAAUGGAAUGAUGUAAUUCUUGGAUUUUGGAUGAAACCUUGUAAUUUGUUUAGAAAUUAGAACUUGUUUCAUGUAAAAGAAUAUCAUUUGUAAUGCUUGAAUCUCCCUUAGAAUCUUGAAUGAAAAUUGUUAUCCAAA